AUAUGCUUGUCUCAAAGAUUAAGCCAUGCAUGUCUAAGUUCACACUGUCUCACGGUGAAACCGCGAAUGGCUCAUUAAAUCAGUCGAGGUUCCUUAGAUGACACGAUCCUACUUGGAUAACUGUGGCAAUUCUAGAGCUAAUACAUGCCUAUGAAGCUCCGACCCUCGUGGAAAGAGCGCUUUUAUUAGUUCAAAACCAAUCGCCGGUCGUCUUCGGGCGGCCGGUGUCCCCAUUGGUGACUCUGGAUAACUUUGUGCUGAUCGCAUGGCCUUCGCGCCGGCGACGCAUCUUUCAAAUGUCUGCCCUAUCAAAUGUCGAUGGUACGUGAUAUGCCUACCAUGUUUGUAACGGGUAACGGGGAAUCAGGGUUCGAUUCCGGAGAGGGAGCAUGAGAAACGGCUACCACAUCCAAGGAAGGCAGCAGGCGCGCAACUUACCCACUCCCGGCACGGGGAGGUAGUGACGAAAAAUAACAAUACGGGACUCUCUACGAGGCUCCGUAAUUGGAAUGAGUACACUUUAAACCCUUUAACGAGUAUCUAUUGGAGGGCAAGUCUGGUGCCAGCAGCCGCGGUAAUUCCAGCUCCAAUAGCGUAUAUUAAAGUUGUUGCAGUUAAAAAGCUCGUAGUUGGAUCUCAGGUGCAGGCGGACGGUCCGGCUCGCGCCGGUUCACUGUCCGUAUUUCCUGCCCUACUGGUCUGCCGGCUCUCUCCCGUGGGUGCUCUUUGCUGAGCGUCCCGGGUGGCCGGCGCGUUUACUUUGAAAAAAUUAGAGUGUUCAAAGCAGGCCUCGGCUGCCUGAAUAAUGGUGCAUGGAAUAAUGGAAUAGGACCUCGGUUCUAUUUUGUUGGUUUUCGGAACUGGAGGUAAUGAUUAAAAGGGACAAACGGGGGCAUUCGUAUUGCGGCGUUAGAGGUGAAAUUCUUGGAUCGCCGCAAGACGAGCUACUGCGAAAGCAUUUGUCAAGAAUGUUUUCAUUAAUCAAGAACGAAAG
This 994-nucleotide ribosomal RNA is filed under the name Roxaniella sp. A TRO-2019. Its description in RNAcentral is "SSU rRNA". It matches the Rfam family "Eukaryotic small subunit ribosomal RNA", at positions 26 to 989 of the family's 1831-position model. The record is from RNAcentral. Lineage: Eukaryota; Metazoa; Mollusca; Gastropoda; Cephalaspidea; Haminoeidae.